GAUCCUGGCUCAGGACGAACGCUGGCGGCGCGCCUAACACAUGCAAGUCGAACGAGAGAGAGGGAGCUUGCUUCCUUGAUCGUAGUGGCGAACGGGUGAGUAACGCGUGAGGAACCUGCCUCAAAGAGGGGGACCAACAGGUUGGAAACGACUGCUAAAUACCGCAUAAGCCCACGACCCGGCAUCGGGAAGAGGGAAAAAGGAGCAAUCCGCUUUGAGAUGGACCUCGCGUCCGAUUAGCUAGUUGGUGAGG
Molecule: ribosomal RNA, 253 nt
Filed under: uncultured bacterium
Lineage: Bacteria
Description: partial 16S ribosomal RNA
Rfam family: Bacterial small subunit ribosomal RNA
Source: RNAcentral